RNAcentral lists this ribosomal RNA (1035 nucleotides) under Triticum aestivum (bread wheat). RNAcentral's name for it is "partial small subunit ribosomal RNA". Lineage: Eukaryota; Viridiplantae; Streptophyta; Magnoliopsida; Poales; Poaceae. The record is from RNAcentral.
AUGAAGGCAGCAUUAAAAACUAUCCUCCCACAUACUCUGCAUAAGUUGUGUCGGUGGCAUAUCAUGAAGAAGUACAAAGACCACCUCGCCUUGCUGUAUAAGGCGCACGAGAAACUCAAGGAUGAACUCAAUGCGGUGCUGAACCACCCACUAAUGCCGUUAGAAUUUGAACGAGCAUGGAAGGACCUCAUUCAGAGAUACAACUUGCAAGACGAUGAAGUGAUGAAUUCGCUAUGGGAUGACAGGCACGAGUGGAUCUCGGCUUACUACAAGGAAAUUUUCUGUGCUCGGAUGACUUCCACACAGAGAAGCGAGAGCAUGAACCGCAUACUGAAGAAAAACUUUGUCAAAGAGAAGCAUGAUCUCCAUUUGUUUGCUCAGCAGGUGGACAAGUGCAUUCAGACCAAGAAGGCCGUCGAGCAUGCAAAGACAGUAGCAAACGAGUCAAAGGUAGAAACAACAACCCAGUUUGGGUUUGAAGUUCAGUUAUCAAAAGUGUAUACAAGGGCAGUGUUUGCAGAUUUCAAAGAAACACUCUACCGUAGCACUGCAUUCAGAGCAGAACGGUGCCCUGAGAACCCGACAAAGUAUCUCGUACACCACUACAACAGAUCAUAUGCAUUUGACUGGGCAAGGCAUAAUUUCCAAGUGAUCGCCGAUGAACAAAAAGGUGUCUACGAAUGUGAGUGCAAACUCUGGACACACACAGAGCUCUUUUGCGUCCAUGUGUUAUGCAUGCUUUCUCAUUUGAGAGUACUCAAGAUUCCUGAGGUGUACAUCAUGAAAAGAUACACCCGUAACGCAAGAUCAAAUGCAACGUUUGACAGAAGAGACUAUGAACAAACAACACCAGAUGGAACCUCGCUUUUUUGCCGUAGAAAAUUGCUGACAGAAACAUCAAUGGACCUUGCAAACAGGGCGACAAGGUCCGACGUUGGGUGCCAUAGAGCGUUGUUUGGUAUGAGGGCACUGAUCGAGGAAGUUGAUGUGCUCAACGAAGAAGAAGAAGAAGAAGAAGAAGCAAAACUAAAGUAA